GGGAAUUCUUUUUGCAUUUUUGGGUGCUAUAGGCUAGUUGGAACUGCUCACCUCAAUGAACUAUGCUAAGCUAUGCUAACAAUGGGUGCUUCAGACU
Molecule: long non-coding RNA, 97 nt
Organism: Alosa sapidissima (American shad)
Lineage: Eukaryota; Metazoa; Chordata; Actinopteri; Clupeiformes; Clupeidae
Exons: 3
Source: RefSeq, a predicted model, not a curated record